Molecule: non-coding RNA, 69 nt
Organism: Podarcis lilfordi (Lilford's wall lizard)
Lineage: Eukaryota; Metazoa; Chordata; Lepidosauria; Squamata; Lacertidae
Source: the annotation of a GenBank genome assembly
GGAUAGCUCAGUUGGCAGAGCACAAAUCUCUUAAUCUCAGGGUUGUGGGUUCAAGUCCCACGUUGGGCA